This 632-nucleotide long non-coding RNA is filed under the name Ananas comosus (pineapple). Its description in RNAcentral is "long non-coding RNA (ACOM_LNC007554)". The record is from RNAcentral. Lineage: Eukaryota; Viridiplantae; Streptophyta; Magnoliopsida; Poales; Bromeliaceae.
AAUUUUUAUUAUAUAAAGAAAAAUGAUAAGACUAAUGGAGACACUAUAAUAAAAACGGUAUAUAGCGACACUUUUAAAUAUCGGUUCAGGUCAAAAAAAAUACUGCUGGCUAAAUUACCAACACUUUUAAAAAAUAUUGCUAUAUGUGGGGUCGUUAGGUAUAUAAUGACAGUUAAAUAGUGUCGGUAUAACUUAAAAAAAGUGCUGCUAAUUUAUCAACACUUAUUUAAGUAUUUAGCAACCGCCGGAACUCUAUCUCGUUAGCUGCGGUGACGGAGGAGGAGGAGAAGGAAGGACUUUUCGUCUAGGAUUUUAGUGGAUUGAGUGAGGGGAGAAGAGGAGAUGGUAAUUGAUUUUUUUUUUUUUUUCUAUUUGUAAUCGGACCAAAUGGACUGGGUGGAAUAGGUUGAGUAGAGUAACCUUUUAUUUUUGGUUGGAUUAAGUUUUAUAUUUAGGCAUUAGUAGAUUUUUUUUAAAGUUUUGGUAUAAAUGAGAUAUUUACAUAUAAGUGUCCCAAACAUGUAUUCCUAUAACCUAAUUCUGUUGUAGUGAAAAGUACUAGUGUUCUUUGCACGACAGUAGUAUAAAAUUUAUAUUUAGUUUAGAAAUGUACAGAUAACACUAUUUAAUAA